GUACCAGAGAUUGAACUCAGGACCUUGCACUUGCGAGGCAGGAACAGUGCUGCUGAGCUAAAUCCCUGGCCCAGUACUUUAAUUUCUAUGUGUAAUUUGUAUGCUUUUGUUUCCCUAGAUAACACAAAUCUGUGUCACUGGCUGGGUGUAAUGCAAGGAAGGGACAAAGAUGAAAUGGAAACAUCUUCCUUUUUUGGUCAUAAUAUCACUCCUCAGAGUGUCAAACCACAACCUGCUUCUGGCCCAGCUUAUUCCAGGUAGGUAGCAUGCUCUUGUUUCAUCAGGAUUUAACCAGUGUUCCUUCCACGCUUUGAG
This 315-nucleotide long non-coding RNA is filed under the name Heterocephalus glaber (naked mole-rat). RNAcentral describes it as "lncRNA (ENSHGLG00100034836.1)". Lineage: Eukaryota; Metazoa; Chordata; Mammalia; Rodentia; Bathyergidae. The record is from RNAcentral.